Spinacia oleracea (spinach) is the source of this 951-nucleotide RNA transcript. RefSeq lists it as uncharacterized. The transcript is spliced from 3 exons. Lineage: Eukaryota; Viridiplantae; Streptophyta; Magnoliopsida; Caryophyllales; Amaranthaceae. The record is from RefSeq and is a predicted model, not a curated record.
GGGUAAUUUCGUAGAUUUGAUCGACCUUCCCCCCUCUUCCAGAUUUUCAGAGUUUUUCUCUCUCCUCCUGGAAAUCCUCUCACCGAUUUUCACAGUCGUUCGCCUUCCUCCUCUUUUUUCCUCCAUUUUCGCACUCGAAUUCUUCUCGUCCUCUCCAUUGUGGCACUCGAAGCUUCCACUUUCCUCCAUUGCUGCGCAAUUUUCCUCGCCUAAUUUUUUUUCGACUAUUUACAAUUGAGAUACUUUGAAUUUGAUGAUGGUGGUUUAUUGCAAUGAUCUUGCUGCAAAUAGAAAUCACCAGGAGCUGCACAUGGCUGUAAGAGCGGCUCCUCAAGUGGGACGGCGAAUCUCAAUGAUGAAGCUUCCGUUCUAUUAUCAGUAAAAUCGAGCUUAAUCGAUCCAUUAGGCCGGUUACAUGGUUGCUCCCUGGUAGCAGGAAUGGUUCAGCUCAUUGCAGUUGGACAGGAGUCUUCUGCAAUGAGGUAGGAUUUGUCGAAAAGCUUGAUCUUUCCACAUGAAUAUCAGUGGCAAGGUUUCAGAUGAGUUCCAACAGCUAAAUUCUCUGUCUGUUCUGAACUUAUGCUGUAAUGCGUUCACAAAAUUCGGUCGCAAAUCUCACAUCACUGAAGUCUUUAGAUGUGAGCCAGAAUCAGUUUUCUGGGAUUUGGAAAGUUUGAUGCUUUGACAUAUUUAAAUGCUUCUGAUAACAAUUCUGAGGGUGAUCUUCCUAGUGAUUUAAGCAAUGCUACUCUUGGUCUUGAAAAACCGCUAUCUUGGCGUUGUACCGAACAUGUAAGUAAUGCUUGGCGUUGUACUGAACAUGUAAGUAAUGCCUAUUAGCUCAAUUGGUAGAGCUUUGUGCAUUUGCACAAUGAUGUAGGUUCGAUUCCUUGAUAGGCAACUCUUUGUAUUCCCUUUAUGAUAUUAAUUCUCCUAUUAAAUUAUUCUCUA